GACGAACGCUGGCGGCGUGCUUAACACAUGCAAGUCGAACGAAAAGAGGGAAAGAGCUUGCUCUUUCCGGAAUUGAGUGGCAAACGGGUGAGUAACACGUAAACAACCUGCCUUCAGGAUGGGGACAACAGACGGAAACGACUGCUAAUACCGAAUAAGUUCCAAGGGCCGCGUGGCCCAUGGAAGAAAAGGUGGCCUCUACCUGUAAGCUAUCGCCUGAAGAGGGGUUUGCGUCUGAUUAGCUGGUUGGAGGGGUAACGGCCCACCAAGGCGACGAUCAGUAGCCGGUCUGAGAGGAUGAACGGCCACACUGGAACUGAGACACGGUCCAGACUCCUACGGGAGGCAGCAGUGGGGAAUCUUCCGCAAUGGGCGAAAGCCUGACGGAGCAACGCCGCGUGAGUGAUGACGGCCUUCGGGUUGUAAAACUCUGUGAUCCGGGACGAAAAGGCAGAGUGCGAAGAACAAACUGCAUUGACGGUACCGGAAAAGCAAGCCACGGCUAACUACGUG
This 513-nucleotide ribosomal RNA is filed under the name uncultured bacterium. RNAcentral describes it as "partial 16S ribosomal RNA". It matches the Rfam family "Bacterial small subunit ribosomal RNA", at positions 28 to 507 of the family's 1533-position model. The record is from RNAcentral.